Molecule: long non-coding RNA, 860 nt
Filed under: Prunus persica (peach)
Lineage: Eukaryota; Viridiplantae; Streptophyta; Magnoliopsida; Rosales; Rosaceae
Description: long non-coding RNA (PPER_LNC007880)
Source: RNAcentral
CAACAACUCUUUUGUAAACCUAAAGCCUUUUUGUUUUGUUUCCAUUAUUUGGAAGAUUGAAUCUGUAGGGAGAGAGAAAGGGAUGGAGGUGAUAGAGACUGGUUAUGUGCUGGGAUUUUGGGAUAGUGAAUGAGGGAAAGGAUUUUAAUAUUUUGGUUUUGGGGUUGGUUGAGGUUGCAAGUGGAACAUUGAUGGGUGGUUUUUAUUUAUAUAUUUUUGAAUUUUUUUGUUUUUGUAAGGAAUGGCUGCUGGAGAUCCUUCUUUAUUUUUGUAAGUUAUAAUUUAUUUAUUUUAAUUUAUAUAUAAUUUUAAACAUUUUAAACAAUAGCAAUAUUUUAAAAAUAUUUUCUAUAUAUAUUUUUUAUUUAAUUUAAAGGAGGAGGAAGCGUCACUGCCCUUCUUUCCUCCUCUCUUCUCAUAUUUUCUUUUUAGGUUAGUGAAUAAGUCCACUGGGAUGUUUUGAAAAAAAGCCACUUGUGGUGGUUUCUUUUGAGCCAUGGUUAGAUUGAAGUUCCCCAUCACCUAUUUUAGUCUAUGUUCUCAAUCAAAUCCUGCUCUCAAAACCCGCUCCCUAACAAAUUCUUUAAAUUUGAUUCUACAUUGUCUUUGAUAGAGGUAGAUCAUUGAAAAUCAUAUUUUUUCCAGAUCUGUUACAGAUGUGGUGUUGGGUGUGGCCGCAACGGUUCUUCUUCAGGUAGUGGUGGUAGGGUUCGUUUAGGCUCAUGGGUUGUUUUAGGGUUUUAUUUAUGUUGGGUUUGUGGGCUUUGUUUGGGCUUUUGGUUAAUUGUGGUGAUGUGUGCUAGUAGUUUUAGUUCGGCUUUUGUCCGCGUUAGUUGUGUUUUUAGUAUAUUAGUUUGUUG